This 342-nucleotide unclassified non-coding RNA is filed under the name Hevea brasiliensis (rubber tree). The record is from RNAcentral. Lineage: Eukaryota; Viridiplantae; Streptophyta; Magnoliopsida; Malpighiales; Euphorbiaceae.
CAGAGUUCCGCAAACUUCUCAGCAUCACUUGAGUUCACUCUUCUAGAUAUUAAGUCAUCAUAUAUAUCAUAAACUGAAAACAAGCUGUUCAUAACACCUAUGAAGAGAAUUACAUAUCGAAGAAUGCGAACUGUUGUUAGUUCUUGCAGAACCCAUAUUGCAGCAAUAAAAAUGAUAAAUCCUAUGCAAAGUCCUCGCAGUGUCCAAUUUUUGGCAAUAAAGAGCACAAUGAGAAGAGCAGCAAUGAAACAACCAGCAGCAAUCUUUGCAGUGAGAAGAUUUGUCGAUGCAAGUAUGAGAACCAUCCCCCAAAAAGACGAACCAAGAUAUCCAGCAGGCAAG